Molecule: ribosomal RNA, 429 nt
Filed under: Chloroflexota bacterium
Lineage: Bacteria; Bacillati; Chloroflexota
Description: Chloroflexi bacterium partial 16S ribosomal RNA
Rfam family: Bacterial small subunit ribosomal RNA
Source: RNAcentral
UGGGGAAUAUUGCACAAUGGGCGCAAGCCUGAUGCAGCCAUGCCGCGUGUAUGAAGAAGGCCUUCGGGUUGUAAAGUACUUUCAGCGGGGAGGAAGGCGGUGAGGUUAAUAACCUCAUCGAUUGACGUUACCCGCAGAAGAAGCACCGGCUAACUCCGUGCCAGCAGCCGCGGUAAUACGGAGGGUGCAAGCGUUAAUCGGAAUUACUGGGCGUAAAGCGCACGCAGGCGGUCUGUCAAGUCGGAUGUGAAAUCCCCGGGCUCAACCUGGGAACUGCAUUCGAAACUGGCAGGCUAGAGUCUUGUAGAGGGGGGUAGAAUUCCAGGUGUAGCGGUGAAAUGCGUAGAGAUCUGGAGGAAUACCGGUGGCGAAGGCGGCCCCCUGGACGAAGACUGACGCUCAGGUGCGAAAGCGUGGGGAGCAAACAGG